CGCAGAGCUCAGCCCAGCCCUGAGGGUCUCUCCACCAGGCAGAGGAGGAGGAAUGUGUGUCAUGCUGGAUGGAAAGGGAUUUUUUGGGACUCUGGUGAGACCUCCUGGAUGUGAUCCCAGGGAAGGGAUGACUCGGAGGUGGCUCCACAGGCAUUUCCCUGUGGAUCCCUCAUAGAAGGAAACUGUAAACAAUAAAUCCUGGAAAUUGUUCCACUCUCCCUGCACAUCCCAAAGGCAUCUGGAAAGGCGCCCAGCCCGGGGGAGGACGGUGCAGGCCAUGACACGCUCUGCAGGGACAGGGAUUUGGUGGAAGUGACGCAGAGUUUGGCCCAGCCUGGCCGGAUUCGUGUCACUCCAGGAGUGGCCUUGAUCCCUGUCCUGCCAGAGCCCAGCCUGGAGCUGUGCUGCCUCAGGUCCUCCUCAUGCUGCUCUUCCCAGGGCAGGGGGCUCCCAGAGGAAGGGAUUAUUCAUUUCCAGGAAUGUUUGAAGCAGAGGGAGCUCCUGGACUGCUGCGUCACUGGGGCUGGAGCCGCUGGAGCUGUUUCCAUGAGCGCAGAUUCGGUGAGACACAUGGCGAGUUUUUUAAAGACAAUACUGGAGCCGCCAGAGGAGGAGGCAUUUGACCACUUGGCAUGGAUGAAGAAGACUUGUAUCAACAUCUCCGGGGGCCUGAGCUCAGAUGGUAUCGCUGCUCACACAUGCAGUGUGAUUCAGGAAAGGCACAGCAGGGACAGGAAUCACGGAGAGCCGCUGAAGUGAACGCCUGUGAUGGCCCUGAAGUGCUGCCGGGGAGGAAAUGUUCUUCCUUCGCAAGCACAGGGAUUCAGCUUUUGGAGCAGGAUCAGAAUCAAUCGCUCCCUUCAGUCAGGAUUUCCUCGGCAGUGGAAGCUGCAGCUCCCAGCCGGGAUGCCGAGUGUGUUAGUCAUUCCCUGGGGUCAGAUGGAGCAGCGAUAACUCCGGGAAGCGGAUAACGCCCUGCUCCGAGCCAGCACAGCCCGCCUGGGAGCGGCCCUGGGCUCCUCCUGCCAUGGGAUGCUUGAUCCCUGCUCCAGGAGUGACAACAGCGUGAGAGCUUCGCUGAUUAUUCCACAACAAACUUGUGUUCGCCUUAAAAAAACAGCAGCAGCAGCAGCAGCGCCUUCCCAAAAACCUUCCAAGGAGGAAAACAACUUUCUGUUUCUAAUAAGGGCCUCCAGCACCAGCUGAGAAGGCUUUAUUUUCAUUUUUCUUCUCCACAAAAGUUUCCAUUGUGUCCAAAAGCCAUUUUCUGUCAGAAGGGGUUUGGGUGGAAAAUAUUUUACUAAAUCUGUUUGCAACCGAUUCAAAGCUGUGCCAAGAAAGAGGGAAGGAGUGAAGGCCCUGAAGCUGCUCCUUGGCACAUUAAAGGGAAUAUCCCAGACAUCCAGGGCCUCUGGAGGGUGUUUGGGUGGUCCUGGUGGAGCUGGGCUCAUCCCAGCCUCCGGUAAAUGUUAAACCAACAAAUAAAUCUGCUUCGCUCAGCAGCCAGGGCUGAGCCUUCGAGCUGGGGUGAAGCUUUUAAAUAUCAUCAGCGUAUUUUCUUUAAAGGAAGGAAGGAUCUUAAUUCCAGCAUUCCAACCCAAAAUAGACAUCCCUAAGAAUAGCCCUUCCCCGUGGCAGGGCAGGACGCUGCCAGGAGGAAAAGGGGCUGGGGAAACCAGGAGUGCUUUCCCUGGACAGGCUGGGAUGGGGAAGGGAUGGGUUUAGCUUUGUGGGGAUUGGGAAGGGAUGGGUUUAGCUUUGUCUGGGCAGUUGGGAAGGGAUGGGCUUAGCUUUGGCUGUG
Taeniopygia guttata (zebra finch) is the source of this 1801-nucleotide long non-coding RNA. NCBI's taxonomy places the organism in Eukaryota, Metazoa, Chordata, Aves, Passeriformes, Estrildidae. The record is from Ensembl.